AUUGAACGCUGGCGGCAGGCCUAACACAUGCAAGUCGAGCGCGAAAAUUCCUUCGGGAAUGAGUAGAGCGGCGGACGGGUGAGUAACGCGUAGGAAUCUGCCCGGUAGUGGGGGACAACAGUCGGAAACGACUGCUAAUACCGCAUACGCCCUAAGGGGGAAAGCAGGGGAUCUUCGGACCUUGCGCUAUCGGAUGAGCCUGCGUCGGAUUAGCUUGUUGGUGGGGUAAUGGCCUACCAAGGCGACGAUCCGUAGCUGGUCUGAGAGGAUGAUCAGCCACACUGGGACUGAGACACGGCCCAGACUCCUACGGGAGGCAGCAGUGGGGAAUAUUGGACAAUGGGGGAAACCCUGAUCCAGCCAUGCCGCGUGUGUGAAGAAGGCC
This 385-nucleotide ribosomal RNA is filed under the name uncultured bacterium. RNAcentral describes it as "bacterial SSU rRNA". It matches the Rfam family "Bacterial small subunit ribosomal RNA", at positions 30 to 416 of the family's 1533-position model. The record is from RNAcentral.